AACGAACGCUGGCGGCAUGCCUAACACAUGCAAGUCGAACGAGACCUUCGGGUCUAGUGGCGCACGGGUGCGUAACGCGUGGGAACCUGCCCUUAGGUUCGGAAUAACUCCCCGAAAGGGGCGCUAAUACCGGAUAAUGUCUUCGGACCAAAGAUUUAUCGCCUUUGGAUGGGCCCGCGUUGGAUUAGCUAGUUGGUAGGGUAAAAGCCUACCAAGGCGACGAUCCAUAGCUGGUCUGAGAGGAUGAUCAGCCACACUGGGACUGAGACACGGCCCAGACUCCUACGGGAGGCAGCAGUGGGGAAUAUUGGACAAAGGGCGAAAGCCUGAUCCAGCAAUGCCGCGUGAGUGAUGAAGGCCUUAGGGUUGUAAAGCUCUUUUACCCGGGAUGAUAAUGACAGUACCGGGAGAAUAAGCUCCGGCUAACUCCGUG
RNAcentral lists this ribosomal RNA (433 nucleotides) under uncultured bacterium. Its description in RNAcentral is "partial 16S ribosomal RNA". It matches the Rfam family "Bacterial small subunit ribosomal RNA", at positions 29 to 507 of the family's 1533-position model. The record is from RNAcentral.